UGGUCAGAUGUUAUUUGUUUA
Molecule: non-coding RNA, 21 nt
Filed under: Caenorhabditis elegans
Lineage: Eukaryota; Metazoa; Nematoda; Chromadorea; Rhabditida; Rhabditidae
Source: RNAcentral